CAGCUAGAACAGGAAAAUCUCCAUUAGACUGCCACCCGUCGUUGCGGAAGUUCAAGCUCCUUCCCUUAUCAAGAGAUAUGUUGCUGUGUCACAAUGUUUCUUGGAAGAUUGAUGGCAUUUUUAACAAAGCUCCUGAUCCCGUUGCCAUGGCGUUGCAUUUCUCUGAAAUGCACAAACUCAUCGAUUAUAUUCUCCACUUGGUUUGAAACUUCUCUGACUUGCCUCACCCAAGUCUCCACCAGCUCGCUCCUUUCUUUGCUUCUCUCUGCGUCUCUUAUGAAGGAUCUCAUGAACUCUAACUCAAGCUUGAUUUCUUCGAUUUCAUCACGAGCAUCUCCCAACAAUGCAGCCUGUUGCAAAACGAUGGUGGCCAACUUUUCGAUCCACAUCAGAAAUCUAUUGGAGAAGAGAGGAGGAAGGAGCAGAGAAAGUGCAAUGGAAUGAGAUGUUAAAGACUUAGAGGCAUUCAAUCCUUUGACCUGGCCUCAAGAAGACUUUCAGUAAGACCUCAACCACUCCUGUUAGCAUGAGAAAGAACAGUCCACUCCUGCCAUUGUUUAAGAUUGUUCUUUUGGGGGUCUUGGCACAAUUUUGUUCAAUUGUUCUUUUUGAGUUUUGACACGGUUUUGUUCAUUUGCAGUCCACAUCAGAAAUCUAUUCCAGAGAGGAGGAAGGAGCAGAGGAAGUACAAUGGAAUUACUCACUUUAGUUAACAGAUUAUGUACAUAUAAAUAGAUUGAAGGUAGAUAAUAUGUUAACUGUAAGUACAUAAUUUGGACAAGAUUCAUAAUACGUAUGCUGGAUCCUGGUCCAUGAUAUUAGUAUUGACUCCAUGCCUAUGAUAAUUUGGGCUUUGAUGGCUUGUACAGCAAUGUAUGCUGGAUCCUGGUCCAUGAUAUUAGUAUUGACUCCAUGCCUAUGAUAAUUUGGGCUUUGAUGGCUUGUACA
Molecule: long non-coding RNA, 948 nt
Organism: Ipomoea nil (Japanese morning glory)
Lineage: Eukaryota; Viridiplantae; Streptophyta; Magnoliopsida; Solanales; Convolvulaceae
Exons: 3
Source: RefSeq, a predicted model, not a curated record